RNAcentral lists this ribosomal RNA (250 nucleotides) under uncultured prokaryote. Its description in RNAcentral is "partial 16S ribosomal RNA". It matches the Rfam family "Bacterial small subunit ribosomal RNA", at positions 524 to 774 of the family's 1533-position model. The record is from RNAcentral.
UACGGAGGAUGCAAGCGUUAUCCGGAUUUAUUGGGUUUGAAGGGCGCGUAGGCGGUUUGCUAAGCGGGAGGUGAAUGCCGGCGCUCAACGUCGGAAGUGCCUCCCGAAAUAGUGGACUGGAAUGACUCUGCCGUGGGAGGAAUGUGUAGUGUAGCGGUGAAAUGCUUAGAGAUUACACAGAACACCGAUUGCGAAGGCAUCUCACGAAGGGUUGAUUGACGCUGAGGCACGAAAGCGUGGGGAUCAAACA